Long non-coding RNA from Zerene cesonia (dogface butterfly), 281 nucleotides. RefSeq lists it as uncharacterized. The record is from RefSeq and is a predicted model, not a curated record. The transcript has 2 exons. NCBI's taxonomy places the organism in Eukaryota, Metazoa, Arthropoda, Insecta, Lepidoptera, Pieridae.
AUUUUAAUUUAAUUGUAGUUUUUAGUUAGGUUUAAUGUUAAUUGUAAUCUGAAGCCUUCCGAGUGUUAAAAAAUCAAUGUUCGUCUAAUACUGGGGGUUUAAUGCUAGGAAGAGUUCUGUCGAUGUCUUAGGACUUAGAGAUCCCUUUAUCUUUAAUUACUUAUAGUCGUCGUAUCAAAAUGAAGAAGAACAACAACCUUCAGUGUAUCUUUAACAUUGUACCUAAGCACUUAUGGGCUAAGUUUCAUUAUGUAUAAUAAUUAAAACACAAAUGAAUUCCA